AGUUCCCUCAGUAGUCUUGUACUGAUCGUGUGCUCCUGAGAUUCAAUUUUGAAAAUAAACUUAAAAGAAAGAAAAAAUGGCAGAUAAUAACGAUCGCAUCGUUUUUCCCGACGAAGUUGAAGCUGUUAAGGACGCCGCUGCCAAAUCCAAUGUUGUCCAGGGCGGUGACAGCAACUCCAUUGAGGCAAACGCAUCUACUGCGGGGAACUCCCAAAUUGAAUUAAGGAACGUCAUCACUGCACCACCGAAUUGUCCUCCCGGUUACAAAAUGGGAAAAGACGGCGUAUGUCGCGAAGUUUUUGACUAAAGUUAACUAGAAUUAAUGUCUUGCCAUAGUUUAAAAUCUACUUUACACUAAGAUUUUGUUAAUAUGUAGUUAAGUUUUUUUU
Long non-coding RNA from Hyposmocoma kahamanoa, 389 nucleotides. RefSeq lists it as uncharacterized. Lineage: Eukaryota; Metazoa; Arthropoda; Insecta; Lepidoptera; Cosmopterigidae. The record is from RefSeq and is a predicted model, not a curated record. The transcript has 2 exons.